This 440-nucleotide ribosomal RNA is filed under the name uncultured bacterium. RNAcentral's name for it is "partial 16S ribosomal RNA". It matches the Rfam family "Bacterial small subunit ribosomal RNA", at positions 338 to 795 of the family's 1533-position model. The record is from RNAcentral.
CCUACGGGUGGCAGCAGUGGGGAAUAUUGCACAAUGGGGGAAACCCUGAUGCAGCGACGCCGCGUGAAGGAAGAAGUAUUUCGGUAUGUAAACUUCUAUCAUCAGGGAAGAAAAUGAUGGUAACAGACUAAGAAGCCCCGGCUAACUACGUCCCAGCAGCCGCGGUAAUACGUAGGGGGCAAGCGUUAUCCGGAUUUACUGGGUGUAAAGGGAGCGUAGGCGGCGUGGCAAGUCAGUAGUGAAAGCCCGGGGCUCAACUCCGGAACUGCUUUUGAAACUGUAUGGCUAGAUUGCAGGAGAGGCAAGUGGAAUUCCUAGUGUAGCGGUGGAAUGCGUAGAUAUUAGGAGGAACACCAGUGGCGAAGGCGGCUUGCUGGACUGUAAAUGACGCUGAGGCUCGAAAGCGUGGGGAGCAAACAGGAUUAGAUACCCGAGUAGUC